RNAcentral lists this unclassified non-coding RNA (420 nucleotides) under Hevea brasiliensis (rubber tree). Lineage: Eukaryota; Viridiplantae; Streptophyta; Magnoliopsida; Malpighiales; Euphorbiaceae. The record is from RNAcentral.
CCUUGGUUGGUUGAGUUCAUUAGCUCUAACAGCACCAUAUUUAUAUAGGCACUCUUUUAUUUCUGAUGAUUCUUCUGAGAGGGUAAGGUCUUCUGCAAUAUCUAGAGCUGUUUUAUGGUCUCUUGUCAGUGCAUUCACGUUUGUGUCAGGAAGUAAUAAUAACUCAUUCACAAUCUCCACCCGUUUCUUCCUAGUUGCCACAUGUAAUGCUGUGUUACCAUUUUUGUCCGGAAGCAUCACAAUAGCAGCAUCUGCCUCAAGAAGCAAUUUAACUACCUCACAGCUCUGCCCCUUAACAGCCAUAUGCAAAGCAGUCUGCCCCUUCUUGUCGGUCCUUCGUGCCAACUGUGGAUCCUUGCUGAGCAAUGCUUUUACAACAUCUACAUGCCCCUGUCUGGCAGCUAAAUGCAAUGCAUUUUU